GGAGGGGGGCGAGCGUUAUUCGGAUUUACUGGGCGUAAAGCGCACGUAGGCGGCUAGGUAUGUCAAAGGGUGAAAGCCCUCGACUCAACCGAGGAACUGCCUUUGAAACUGCUUGGCUUGAGUCCCGGGAGAGGGGAGCGGAAUUCCCAGUGUAGCGGUGAAAUGCGUAGAUACUGGGAGGAACGCCGGUGGCGAAGGCGGCUCCCUGGACCGGCACUGACGCUGAGGUGCGAAAGCGUGAGUAGCAAACAGGAUUAGAUACCCUGGUAGUCCACGCCGUAAACGAUGGGCACUAGGUGCAGCGGGUGUCGACCCCUGCUGUGCCGAAGCUAACGCAUUAAGUGCCCCGCCUGGGGAGUACGGUCGCAAGGCUG
This 374-nucleotide ribosomal RNA is filed under the name uncultured organism. Its description in RNAcentral is "partial 16S ribosomal RNA". It matches the Rfam family "Bacterial small subunit ribosomal RNA", at positions 526 to 896 of the family's 1533-position model. The record is from RNAcentral.